CGGGACGGGUGAGUAAUGUCUGGGAAACUGCCCGAUGGAGGGGGAUAACUACUGGAAACGGUAGCUAAUACCGCAUAACGUCGCAAGACCAAAGAGGGGGACCUUCGAGCCUCUUGCCAUCGGAUGUGCCCAGAUGGGAUUAGCUAGUAGGUGGGGUAACGGCUCACCUAGGCGACGAUCCCUAGCUGGUCUGAGAGGAUGACCAGCCACACUGGAACUGAGACACGGUCCAG
Molecule: ribosomal RNA, 233 nt
Filed under: uncultured bacterium
Lineage: Bacteria
Description: partial 16S ribosomal RNA
Rfam family: Bacterial small subunit ribosomal RNA
Source: RNAcentral